RNAcentral lists this ribosomal RNA (253 nucleotides) under uncultured bacterium. RNAcentral describes it as "partial 16S ribosomal RNA". It matches the Rfam family "Bacterial small subunit ribosomal RNA", at positions 524 to 776 of the family's 1533-position model. The record is from RNAcentral.
UACGGGGGGGGCAAGCGUUGUUCGGAAUUACUGGGCGUAAAGGGCUCGUAGGCGGCCAACUAAGUCAGACGUGAAAGCCCCCGGCUCAACCGGGGAGGGUCGUCGGGGACCGCACCGCUUGAGGGCGGUAGGGGCUGGUGGAAUGCCUGGUGUAGUGGUGAAAUGCGUAGAGAUCAGGCGGAACACCCGUGGCGAAGGCGGCCAGCUGGGCCGUCCCUGACGCUGAGGCGCGAAGGCGUGGGGAGCGAACGGG